UAGGGAAUCUUCGGCAAUGGGGGCAACCCUGACCGAGCAACGCCGCGUGAGUGAAGAAGGUUUUCGGAUCGUAAAGCUCUGUUGUAAGAGAAGAACGAGUGUGAGAGUGGAAAGUUCACACUGUGACGGUAUCUUACCAGAAAGGGACGGCCAACUACGUGCCAGCAGCCGCGGUAAUACGUAGGUCCCGAGCGUUGUCCGGAUUUAUUGGGCGUAAAGCGAGCGCAGGCGGUUAGAUAAGUCUGAAGUUAAAGGCUGUGGCUUAACCAUAGUACGCUUUGGAAACUGUUUAACUUGAGUGCAAGAGGGGAGAGUGGAAUUCCAUGUGUAGCGGUGAAAUGCGUAGAUAUAUGGAGGAACACCGGUGGCGAAAGCGGCUCUCUGGCUUGUAACUGACGCUGAGGCUCGAAAGCGUGGGGAGCAAACAGGAUUAGAUACCCUGGUAGUCCACGCCGUAAACGAUGAGUGCUAGGUGUUAGACCCUUUCCGGGGUUUAGUGCCGUAGCUAACGCAUUAAGCACUCCGCCUGGGGAGUACGACCGCAAGGUUG
This 550-nucleotide ribosomal RNA is filed under the name uncultured bacterium. Its description in RNAcentral is "bacterial SSU rRNA". It matches the Rfam family "Bacterial small subunit ribosomal RNA", at positions 355 to 896 of the family's 1533-position model. The record is from RNAcentral.